This 261-nucleotide ribosomal RNA is filed under the name uncultured prokaryote. Its description in RNAcentral is "partial 16S ribosomal RNA". It matches the Rfam family "Bacterial small subunit ribosomal RNA", at positions 524 to 784 of the family's 1533-position model. The record is from RNAcentral.
UACGUAGGUGGCAAGCGUUGUCCGGAUUUAUUGGGCGUAAAGGGAGCGCAGGCGGUGACUUAAGUCUGAUGUGAAAGCCCACGGCUCAACCGUGGAAGGUCAUUGGAAACUGGGUCACUUGAAUAUAGAAGAGGAAAGUGGAAUUCCAUGUGUAGCGGUGAAAUGCGUGGAUAUAUGGAGGAACACCAGUGGCGAAGGCGACUUUCUGGUCUAUUAUUGACGCUGAGGCUCGAAAGCAUGGGUAGCAAACAGGAUUAGAUA